Molecule: long non-coding RNA, 803 nt
Organism: Eptesicus fuscus (big brown bat)
Lineage: Eukaryota; Metazoa; Chordata; Mammalia; Chiroptera; Vespertilionidae
Exons: 2
Source: RefSeq, a predicted model, not a curated record
AGGAAGAGAUAGGGCUUCAGUAUCCGCCUCAGCUAAGCGCUUCCGCCUGCGACUGCCGACUGCAGUUGGGCUCUCCGUACCAGCGUCCAGCUCCGCUCUGGCCCUACGGGUCCACGGGGCUCGUAGACCUUAUUUUCCUCUAGGGUCUCUUCAGUCCCUACCCCACCCGUCAGCUGCCUCGAACCGUCUCUGCAACUUCUCCGUUCCUCGGUUCCUCUCAAGGGUUUCACGGUCAAAAGCUCCAGUUUCAGUGGGACCGACCUGGUCCUAAGACACGGCCUUGGCACUUAAGAGUGUGACCAUGUGUGGCUGUGAAAUCACUUAGGGGACAAAUUCUCUGAGCCUCAGUUUCCUCCUCGUUAAGAGAGGGAAACUAAUAACUAAUUGGGCCAUUGGGAGGACGAAAUGAGAUACCACCACAGAACAAGUAGCCCAGUGCCUAGCCGGAAGGAAGUCCUGAAACGUGGGAAGCUGGUGUUACUCGAUGCCGCAGUGUCCCAAUGUAGAGACUUGGGCUUCAGCUGCAACCAAGACAGCUGCUUCCUGAAGGCUCCAAGGUAACCAGCUGCCUGCAGCACUGGGCUCUAGUGACUCAGCCCACCCCCAGCUUCCUUUCCUGCAUCAAGGUGAGGAGGCUUCUGACCAUGUGUGGCUGAGAGGACUGAGUCAAGGGCUGACUCCCACUGAUUCCCUUCCCUGAGAAUGUUUGCGGGGCAGAUCGGGGGUGGUUGUGUCCAGACUGGUGUCCACAACCCUGUAACCUCUCAAUAAAAGAAAGUUGGUGCUGAGCCAGUGAUCAGAUA